UAUAAUUGAUCUCUAAUUAUGACAAAGUCAUCAUUAAGUUUAAGUAGGCCCUAUAAAUGAACCGUUAAUUAAGUAAUUAAAGAAAUGUUUCAAGAGAUCUAGAGCGGGAAAAUAUGGGUAGAAAUGGUAGUAGAAAACCAGUCCUGGAGAAGAUUAUGGUACUAGUAAUUGUACUUGUGCUAAUUGUAGUGCAAGCUGAUAAUCCUCCCCCUCCCUCUAUAAUUUCUCCUUGCUUUUCCUCUCUCAAACCAUGUGAAGAUCAUGGAAGCCACAGAAACAUAAAAAGAUGCAAUGAAAGGUGCAAACGUACUUGUGCUGGAUUCAGAACUGAACAUAUAUACAGGGGUUGCGUUGGUGGUUGCAAAGCACAGUGCUUGAAAGGAGGGCUUCGAAGUCAAUAUAGGCCGGCUAGACUACAUUGGUGAUAGAAUGGAAGGAGAUUCAGAAGCAAGCUAGAGCAAUAAAAGGAAGAAUAAAAGUUGUUUCUUGUUAUUGAAGAAUAAGAUUGAUGCAAUUAAUUGUACGUUAUAUAUAUGUUUUUCUCAAAUUUGUUUGUACCAAAUUAAGGAAGCUAUAUAUAUAUAUAUAUAUAAUAUGGAUCUGGAUCA
Molecule: long non-coding RNA, 608 nt
Organism: Alnus glutinosa
Lineage: Eukaryota; Viridiplantae; Streptophyta; Magnoliopsida; Fagales; Betulaceae
Exons: 2
Source: RefSeq, a predicted model, not a curated record